GAGCCAGCGGUGCAAUGGGUAAUGCAGCCGAUUAUGGGAUCGGAAGACUGUAGGUUUAACUCCUGCCUGGCUCG
This 74-nucleotide transfer RNA is filed under the name Alligator mississippiensis (American alligator). It matches the Rfam family "tRNA". Rfam says of the family: Transfer RNA (tRNA) molecules are approximately 80 nucleotides in length. Their secondary structure includes four short double-helical elements and three loops (D, anti-codon, and T loops). The record is from Rfam by way of RNAcentral. Lineage: Eukaryota; Metazoa; Chordata; Crocodylia; Alligatoridae.